ACAUAGUAUAAUAUACUACCUGGACGCUGAGAACGGGGUUUCCAAACACAAUUAAACUACAUACUAAACUAUAUGUGUAUUAAAAUACUCAUAAAAUAGAAAAAAUCUGUACCACAGGCGAGAGGAGACUAAAUCAUUGUAUUAUGUAUUCCAGGGUCAACUUUGAAGAAUUAUUUCUAUACACUGGUGGUAGACCUUCAAAAGCCAUGCGAUGCAAAGUUGGAAUGUAAGUUCACCGAGUUGAGGAAAUAUGUUUGUACAUUCUUAAACAACGGAAAUCCAAACAUAUUAUAUAAUUAUACAAUACACCAAAUAUAUUCAACAACUCAUAAAACUAUUGGUCGUUCUAUUAUAACUGUAAAUUAUGCACAAACAAUUGUAUAUACCGUCAAAAUAGAACGAUUUGAUUUCAAUAGUGCAAUUGUUGCACGCCUGAACCAGUUAAAACGCGACAAGAAAUUUUUUUAUAUGAUCUUUCUAUCGCCGAAAGUACUAUCGUUAAAAACCACAACUACGCCAUAAUGAGUUAUUCCGACACGGCACGUGUAAGAUUUUCCUGUGAGCAAUAUAUAAACAAAGAUCCAUCGGUUGGUUUGAUUGACAGUAGUGGGUACAAGAUAGAGACGGUAGAACGAACUACAUACAACGAGCUACUUGAUGUUAGUAAAAAUGGAAGUAUGCUGUGUUGUAUAUAUUAUUACGAAGUGAGUGACUUAGGCGAAACUACAGAUAUCACUCGGGUCAUUGCAAAUAAAACCUUAUUGCUGUACAAGAAGGACGAAAUGAAAGUUAAUGAAACUGAAACUGAGGCUACGCGUAGAGGUUACCUGGGACUGUACGUGGCGAUACCAACAGUACUGCUGGCUGCCGCAUUCGUAGCAGUUGUUUACGUUUGCCGCAAAAAGAAACCGCUGCCAAACCCCAC
Long non-coding RNA from Spodoptera frugiperda (fall armyworm), 925 nucleotides. RefSeq lists it as uncharacterized. The record is from RefSeq and is a predicted model, not a curated record. The transcript is spliced from 6 exons. Lineage: Eukaryota; Metazoa; Arthropoda; Insecta; Lepidoptera; Noctuidae.